GCUGGGAUGGCUUAGUGGUCAGCGCAUCUGCCUUGUGAGCAGGAGGCCUGGGUUCGAAUCCCGGUCUUGAUA
This is a non-coding RNA of Schistocerca cancellata (South American locust), 72 nucleotides long. Lineage: Eukaryota; Metazoa; Arthropoda; Insecta; Orthoptera; Acrididae. The record is from the annotation of a RefSeq genome assembly.